CCUACGGGAGGCAGCAGUGAGGAAUAUUGGUCAAUGGCCGGAAGGCUGAACCAGCCAAGUCGCGUGAGGGACGACUGCCCUAUGGGUUGUAAACUUCUUUUAUUGAGGACGAAACAAAUGACGGUACUCAAUGAAUAAGCCACGGCUAACUACGUGCCAGCAGCCGCGGUAAUACGUAGGUGGCAAGCGUUAUCCGGAUUUACUGGGUGUAAAGGGCGUGUAGGCGGGACUGCAAGUCAGAUGUGAAAACCAUGGGCUCAACCCAUGGCCUGCAUUUGAAACUGUAGUUCUUGAGUGAUGGAGAGGCAGGCGGAAUUCCGUGUGUAGCGGUGAAAUGCGUAGAUAUACGGAGGAACACCAGUGGCGAAGGCGGCCUGCUGGACAUUAACUGACGCUGAGGCGCGAAAGCGUGGGGAGCAAACAGGAUUAGAUACCCCUGUAGUC
RNAcentral lists this ribosomal RNA (444 nucleotides) under uncultured bacterium. RNAcentral describes it as "partial 16S ribosomal RNA". It matches the Rfam family "Bacterial small subunit ribosomal RNA", at positions 338 to 795 of the family's 1533-position model. The record is from RNAcentral.